GCAUUCGUGAUUCAGUGGUAGAAUUCUUGCCUUCCAUGUAGGAGGCCAGGGUUUGAUUCCUGGCCAGUGCA
This 71-nucleotide transfer RNA is filed under the name Loxodonta africana (African savanna elephant). It matches the Rfam family "tRNA". From Rfam's summary of the family: Transfer RNA (tRNA) molecules are approximately 80 nucleotides in length. Their secondary structure includes four short double-helical elements and three loops (D, anti-codon, and T loops). The record is from Rfam by way of RNAcentral. Lineage: Eukaryota; Metazoa; Chordata; Mammalia; Proboscidea; Elephantidae.